Molecule: microRNA, 23 nt
Filed under: Cordylochernes scorpioides
Lineage: Eukaryota; Metazoa; Arthropoda; Arachnida; Pseudoscorpiones; Chernetidae
Source: RNAcentral
GAGGGGCUGGAGUUCCUGAGGAA